UCUAACCUGCCCAAUGAGUAUUUGAAUGGCCGCGGUAAUUUGACCGUGCAAAGGUAGCAUAAUCAUUAGUUUUUUAAUUGAAAGCUGGAAUGAAUGGUUGGACGAGAAAAUAACUGUCUCAAUUUAAUUGUAUAUAGAAUUUUAUUUAUAAGUAAAAAAGCUUAUAUAAUUUUAAAAGACGAGAAGACCCUAUAGAGUUUUACAUUUUACUUUAUUAAUUAAGUUUAGUAUUUUUAUGUUUUUAAUAAAGUAAGGUGUUUUGCUGGGGCAGCAGAAAAAUUAGAUAAACUUUUUUUAUUAUUAUUACAUUGAUUUAUGGUUUAUUGAUCCAUUUUUUAUGAUUAUAAGAUUAAAUUACCUUAGGGAUAACAGCGUAAUUUUUUUUUAGAGUUCUUAUCGAAAAAAGAGUUUGCGACCUCGAUGUUGGAUUAAAAUUAACUUUUGGUGUAGGGGCUAAAAGGUUAGGUCUGUUCGACCUUUAAAAUUUUACA
RNAcentral lists this ribosomal RNA (491 nucleotides) under Callistethus multiplicatus. Its description in RNAcentral is "partial 16S ribosomal RNA". It matches the Rfam family "Bacterial large subunit ribosomal RNA", at positions 1853 to 2600 of the family's 2925-position model. Lineage: Eukaryota; Metazoa; Arthropoda; Insecta; Coleoptera; Scarabaeidae. The record is from RNAcentral.